RNAcentral lists this ribosomal RNA (450 nucleotides) under uncultured bacterium. Its description in RNAcentral is "bacterial SSU rRNA". It matches the Rfam family "Bacterial small subunit ribosomal RNA", at positions 30 to 478 of the family's 1533-position model. The record is from RNAcentral.
AUUGAACGCUGGCGGCAUGCCUUACACAUGCAAGUCGAACGGCAGCACGGGGGCAACCCUGGUGGCGAGUGGCGAACGGGUGAGUAAUACAUCGGAACGUGUCCUGUCGUGGGGGAUAACUAGUCGAAAGAUUAGCUAAUACCGCAUGAGAUCGAGAGAUGAAAGCAGGGGACCGCAAGGCCUUGCGCGAUUGGAGCGGCCGAUGUCGGAUUAGCAGUUGGCGGGGUAAAGGCCCACCAAGGCGACGAUCCGUAGCUGGUUUGAGAGAACGACCAGCCACACUGGGACUGAGACACGGCCCAGACUCCUACGGGAGGCAGCAGUGGGGAAUUUUGGACAAUGGACGCAAGUCUGAUCCAGCCAUUCCGCGUGCAGGAUGAAGGCCCUCGGGUUUGUAAACUGCUUUUGGUACGGAACGAAAGCCGCUCUCUAAUACAGGGCGGUCAUGAC